GGCCUCCCUCUAUGGGGCGAUUGAUUGUGGGGCUCUGCAAUCGAUCGCCUCACAGAGGGAGGUU
This 64-nucleotide microRNA precursor is filed under the name Myotis brandtii (Brandt's bat). Its description in RNAcentral is "mir-9242 microRNA precursor family". It matches the Rfam family "mir-9242 microRNA precursor family". Lineage: Eukaryota; Metazoa; Chordata; Mammalia; Chiroptera; Vespertilionidae. The record is from Rfam by way of RNAcentral.